CAGAUUCUGUGUCUCCCUCUCUCUCUGCCCCUCCCCUGUUCAUGCUCUGUCUCUCUCUGUCUCAAAAAUAAAUAAACGUUAAAAAAAAAAAUUUAAAAUAUUCUGUUAGGACUGCCACACAAAUAUUCUUGUACUUUUUAAAAGCCUGAGCGUUCGUUUAGAUUUUAUAUCCUAUUUUUUUCCCCUCAGAAAUGUGGUAAUUGCAUUUUUCAUCUGGAAAUUGAGGGUUUUGUGCCGCAUCUAAAUUUAUUUUGGUCUCUGAGCAUACAUGGUUCUGAUAAUCACAACAAAUAUAGAUUAAUAUUAAGAGCUACUUGUCUUUGUUCUGAGUCACCUCUUCAUUCAUUGUAGGCUCUUUCUACAUUGGAAAAGCUUUGAGGAGAUUGUUAAUUGACCUUAUUUUCAAAUGAUGGGAGCUGGUGGGAGGGGUGCAGUGAUGAAUCAGGAGUUUAGUUAUUAUUGGCUGAUUUAAAUAAAGUGGCUGAACAUGUGUCUUUAAGGGACACUUUCAUAAGAGAUCAGUUUCUCUUUUGUUAAGCUCUGUUUCCUUUAUGUCUUCAGCAAUAGAAAAUAAGAUGUAAGUCGGUGCAAACAUGUUUCCCAGCCAUACCUGGACACAACCAAUAGCAACAAGGAAGCCUAAAUAAGCUGGUUGUCUAAAAUGAGGCUACAACAUGAUACACUGAGACAGUACUGCCUUUGGUGGAUACGCUGAGCAGAAAGUCCAUGUAAAGCAAUUUGAGUCUGAUAAUCAUUACUCUCUACACGGAUGAGAAAGAAAAACAACCUUGGAGAUUCUUGGCCUGCUGUGGCUCAGAGACGGCCUGACUCAACAUUUAUAAACACAGCUAUACUUGGGGAUGUGCUUGGCGAGGCUGAAAAACAGGGAACGCAAGCCCUACUAUUCCUUGAAGUUUUAAAAUGGAGAACUAUUGAAAACAUAGUAGAACAUGGAGAAUCCCAGGACCACUGAGCUUCUAGCUGUACUGGCAGGUAGGGUGUUAGCCCUGCAAAGUGAGGGGUUUUUGUUUUGUUUUGUUUUGUUUUUUCUGUAGCCAGUCACUAAUGGGAACAUUUCAUGGCAAAGUUUUAUACCCAACCAUUGAAUGAAUACUAAACCCCAUUUAAAGUAUUGUUAAGUAUUUAAGAAAGAUACUAAAAAGUCUUUUGUCUUCUAUAAUUGCGAUGUCUUGAAAAGCAUGUGACUUAUACUAUUUCUCCAUGCAUGAAAUUUUCAGGUUUAUGACAUUGACAUGACAUAAAAAUUAUGUAGCACAACUAAAAUUUUGUUUACAAUGGUGCUUAUUUCAAACCUCAUCAUAAAAUCAAUUUUAGAAAAAAAUUCUCCACUUUUUUUGUUUGCCUAAAGUUAGAUACCUUUCAAACUGAAGCCAUUGUCUAUACAUUAUAUGUGAUGGCAAAUGUGUGCGUUAGGAGCGCCUGGGUGGCUCAGUCCGUUAAGUGUCUGACUCUUGGUUUCAGCUCAGGUCGUGAUCUCACAGUUCGUGGGUUUGAGCCCCAUGUCGGGUUGUAUGCUGCCAGUGCA
Long non-coding RNA from Felis catus (domestic cat), 1546 nucleotides. RefSeq lists it as uncharacterized. Lineage: Eukaryota; Metazoa; Chordata; Mammalia; Carnivora; Felidae. The record is from RefSeq and is a predicted model, not a curated record. The transcript is spliced from 3 exons.